UGGGGAAUCUUGGACAAUGGGGGCAACCCUGAUCCAGCGACGCCGCGUGGGUGAAGAAGGCCUUAGGGUUGUAAACCCCUUUCGCCGGGGAAGAUGAUGACGGUACCGCCGGAAGAAGCCCCGGCUAACUCCGUGCCAGCAGCCGCGGUAAGACGGAGGGGGCAAGCGUAGUCCGGACUCACUGGGCGUAAAGGGCGCGCAGGCGGGACGGCGCGUCGGCGCUGAAAGCGCCCGGCUUAACCGGGCGCGGCGCGGCGAUACGACCGACCUGGAGGCAGGCAGAGGGUGGCGGAAUUCCGGGUGUAGUGGUGAGAUGCGUAGAGAUCCGGAGGAACGCCUGUGGCGCAAGCGGCCGCCUGGGCCUGACCUGACGCUGAGGCGCGAAAGCGUGGGGAGCGAACCGGAUUAGAUACCCCUGUAGUCC
Molecule: ribosomal RNA, 424 nt
Filed under: uncultured prokaryote
Description: partial 16S ribosomal RNA
Rfam family: Bacterial small subunit ribosomal RNA
Source: RNAcentral